CAGGACCAGGGACGCAGCAGUGGGGAGUAUUGCGCAAUGGGGGGAACCCUGACGCAGCAACGCCGCGUGCAGGAAGAAGGUCUUCGGAUUGCAAACUGUUGUCGCAGGGGAAGAAGACAGUGACGGUACCCUGUGAGAAAGCCACGGCUAACUACGUGCCAGCAGCCGCGGUAAUACGUAGGUGACAAGCGUUGUCCGGAUUUACUGGGUGUAAAGGGCGCGUAGGCGGAUGUGCAAGUCAGUCGUGAAAUACCGGGGCUCAACCUCGGGGCUGCGAUUGAAACUGCACACCUUGAGUAUCGGAG
Molecule: ribosomal RNA, 305 nt
Filed under: uncultured bacterium
Lineage: Bacteria
Description: bacterial SSU rRNA
Rfam family: Bacterial small subunit ribosomal RNA
Source: RNAcentral